RNAcentral lists this ribosomal RNA (598 nucleotides) under uncultured cyanobacterium. Its description in RNAcentral is "bacterial SSU rRNA". It matches the Rfam family "Bacterial small subunit ribosomal RNA", at positions 33 to 676 of the family's 1533-position model. The record is from RNAcentral. Lineage: Bacteria; Bacillati; Cyanobacteriota.
ACGCUGGCGGUAUGCUUACACAUGCAAGUCGAACGCACGUAGCAAUACGUGAGUGGCGGACGGGUGAGUAACGCGUGAGAAUCUAGCUUCAGGUCGGGGACAACAGAGGGAAACCGCUGCUAAUACCGGAUAUGCCGAAAGGUGAAAGAUUAAUUGCCUGAAGAUGAGCUCGCGUCUGAUUAGCUAGUUGGAGAGGUAAAAGCUCACCAAGGCGACGAUCAGUAGCUGGUCUGAGAGGACGAUCAGCCACACUGGGACUGAGACACGGCCCAGACUCCUACGGGAGGCAGCAGUGGGGAAUUUUCCGCAAUGGGCGAAAGCCUGACGGAGCAAUACCGCGUGAGGGAGGAAGGCUCUUGGGUUGUAAACCUCUUUUCUUAGGGAAGAAGCUCUGACGGUACCUAAGGAAUAAGCAUCGGCUAACUCCGUGCCAGCAGCCGCGGUAAUACGGAGGAUGCAAGCGUUAUCCGGAAUCAUUGGGCGUAAAGCGUCCGUAGGUGGCAGUUCAAGUCUGCUGUUAAAGGCUGGGGCUUAACCCCAGACAGGCAGUGGAAACUGAACAGCUAGAGUGUGGUAGGGGUAGAGGGAAUUCCGGUGU